This 149-nucleotide ribosomal RNA is filed under the name Apseudocercosporella trigonotidis. RNAcentral's name for it is "partial 18S ribosomal RNA". It matches the Rfam family "Eukaryotic small subunit ribosomal RNA", at positions 1685 to 1831 of the family's 1831-position model. Lineage: Eukaryota; Fungi; Ascomycota; Dothideomycetes; Mycosphaerellales; Mycosphaerellaceae. The record is from RNAcentral.
CCGAUUUAAUGGCUCAGCGAGGCCUUCGGACUGGCCCAGGGAGGUCGGCAACGACCACCCAGGGCCGGAAAGUUGGUCAAACUCGGUCAUUUAGAGGAAGUAAAAGUCGUAACAAGGUCUCCGUAGGUGAACCUGCGGAGGGAUCAUUA